AGAUUGAACGCUAGCGGGAUGCUUUACACAUGCAAGUCGAACGGCAGCGCGGACUUCGGUCUGGCGGCGAGUGGCGAACGGGUGAGUAAUAUAUCGGAACGUGCCCAGUAGCGGGGGAUAACUACGCGAAAGCGUGGCUAAUACCGCAUACGCCCUACGGGGAAAGGGGGGGAUUCUCGGAACCUCUCACUAUUGAGCGGCCGACUAUCAGAUUAG
This 216-nucleotide ribosomal RNA is filed under the name uncultured soil bacterium. RNAcentral's name for it is "partial 16S ribosomal RNA". It matches the Rfam family "Bacterial small subunit ribosomal RNA", at positions 26 to 244 of the family's 1533-position model. The record is from RNAcentral.